RNAcentral lists this ribosomal RNA (573 nucleotides) under uncultured bacterium. Its description in RNAcentral is "bacterial SSU rRNA". It matches the Rfam family "Bacterial small subunit ribosomal RNA", at positions 896 to 1460 of the family's 1533-position model. The record is from RNAcentral.
UUCGCCCUUAGAGUUUGAUGGUGGCUCACACAAGCGGUGGAGGAUGUGGUUUAAUUCGAAGCAACGCGAAGAACCUUACCAGGCCUUGACAUAAUGGGAUUAACCGAAUGAAAGUUUGGGGAUUGCUCUUACGAGUGUAACCAUUACAGGUGCUGCAUGGCUGUCGUCAGCUCGUGCCGUGAGGUGUUAGGUUAAGUCCUUUAACGAGCGAAACCCCUACGUUUAGUUGCCAGCGGGUCAUGCCGGGGACUCUAGACGGACUGCCGCGUUUAAGUUGGAGGAAGGUGGGGACGACGUCAAGUCAUCAUGGCCCUUAUGGCCUGGGCUACACACGUCCUACAAUGGGUAAUACAAUGGGUCGCUAAGCCGUGAGGUGGUGCUAAUCUCAUAAAGUUAUCCUCAGUUCGGAUUGGAGGCUGCAAUUCGCCUCCAUGAAGCCGGAAUCGCUAGUAAUCGCAGGUCAGCUACACUGCGGUGAAUAUGUUCCUGAGCCUUGUACACACCGCCCGUCAAGCCACCCGAAUUGGUCGCACCCGAAGUCAUAGUUCUAACCGUAAGGAGGGACGUGCCGAA